This 499-nucleotide ribosomal RNA is filed under the name uncultured bacterium. Its description in RNAcentral is "bacterial SSU rRNA". It matches the Rfam family "Bacterial small subunit ribosomal RNA", at positions 899 to 1397 of the family's 1533-position model. The record is from RNAcentral.
ACUCAAAGGAAUUGACGGGGGCCCGCACAAGCGGUGGAGCAUGUGGUUUAAUUCGACGCAACGCGCAGAACCUUACCAGCCCUUGACAUGCCGCGCUACUCACAGAGAUGUGGGGUUCCAGCAAUGGACGCGGACACAGGUGCUGCAUGGCUGUCGUCAGCUCGUGUCGUGAGAUGUUGGGUUAAGUCCCGCAACGAGCGCAACCCUUGCCUUCAGUUGCCAUCAUUAAGUUGGGCACUCUGGAGGGACUGCCGGCGGUAAGCCGGAGGAAGGUGGGGAUGACGUCAAGUCCUCAUGGCCCUUACGGGCUGGGCUACACACGUGCUACAAUGGUGGCGACAGAGGGCACAAGCGAGCGUGUGAACGUUAGCAAAUCCCAAAAAGCCAUCUCAGUUCAGAUUGCGCUCUGCAACUCGGGCGCAUGAAGGUGGAAUCGCUAGUAAUCGCAGAACAGCAGGCUGCGGUGAAUACGUUCCCGGGCCUUGUACACACCGCCCGU